This 235-nucleotide ribosomal RNA is filed under the name uncultured Candidatus Saccharibacteria bacterium. Its description in RNAcentral is "partial 16S ribosomal RNA". It matches the Rfam family "Bacterial small subunit ribosomal RNA", at positions 584 to 818 of the family's 1533-position model. The record is from RNAcentral. Lineage: Bacteria; Candidatus Saccharimonadota.
UAAGCAGGGUAUGAAAUCGUAAGGCUCAACCUUACGACUGUGCCCUGAACUGGCAGACUAGAGUGUGGUAGAGGUAGCUGGAAUUUCUAGUGUAGGAGUGAAAUCCGUAGAUAUUAGAAGGAACACCGAUGGCGUAGGCAGGCUACUGGGCCAUUACUGACACUGAGGCACGAAAGCGUGGGGAGCGAACCGGAUUAGAUACCCGGGUAGUCCACGCCGUAAACGAUGGAUGCUA